Molecule: small RNA, 905 nt
Filed under: Pongo abelii (Sumatran orangutan)
Lineage: Eukaryota; Metazoa; Chordata; Mammalia; Primates; Hominidae
Description: sense intronic
Source: RNAcentral
AUGGCAAAUAAGUACAUGAAAAGAUGCUCAAAGUCGUAAGUCAUUAGGGAAAUAUAAAUUUAAACCAUAAUGAGAUACCACUGAACACUCCCUAGAAUGGCUGUAAUGAAUAGGAUUAGUCACAUGGUGACAAGAAUGGAGGAUCAUCUGGAACUCUCAUACACUGAAAAUAGGAAUGUGAAAUGGAUCAACUACUUUGGAAGACAAUUGGGCAGUUUCUUUCAGAGUAAAUGUGAAGAUGCCAUACGAUUCAUCCAUUCCAAUUCUAAUUAUUCAAGAGAAAUGAAACUGUAUAUCCACAAAAAAGACUUGUACACAAACAUUCACAGCAGCUUUAUUGGUAAUAGCUAAAAACUGUAAACAGCUCACAUAUCCAUCAAGUGUAUGGAUAAACAAAUUUGGUGUAUUUAUACAAUGGAAUACUACUCGGCAAUAAAAAGAACAGUUGAUACUCUCAACAACCUAGAUGGACCUCAGAAUAAUUCGGUUUAAUGAAUGAAGCCAAACUUAAGAAGAGUACAUUGUAUGUACUUGGAGAACUAAUUUCUUGCAAUAGAUUUUUAAGCACUAUUAGGAGCAUAUGACUUAAACAGUUUUUAAAAGUCAGGGAGUAAGUAUGCUUAAAUAAAAUACAAUCUGUGAAACAAAUCUCUGAAUUAUUAUCACUUCACUGGACACUCUAACUUGACCAUAUUUCUGACUUUAAUGUAACUCACUCUUAUUCCGUAGUCACAUGUUUGCUUGCUCAUUGGUUCACAUAACAUUUAUUCAGCAUCUGUUUGAGCCAAGGCACUGUAACUGCAUGUUUUUUUUAGUUACCUACUUUUGUAAGGUCCUUUUUCUUUGGCUACAUCUGAUUACAGUAAACAUAGGAAGUUUAAUAAAACAAUUUUCAUGACUGAGGA